GGCGUAAAGAGCUCGUAGGCGGUUUGUCGCGUCUGCUGUGAAAUUUCGAGGCUCAACCUCGAACUUGCAGUGGGUACGGGCAGGCUAGAGUGCGGUAGGGGAGAUGGGUAUUCCUGGUGUAGCGGUGGAAUGCGCAGAUAUCAGGAGGAACACCAAUGGCGAAGGCACAUCUCUGGGCCGUAACUGACGCUGAGGAGCGAAAGCGUGGGGAGCGAACAGGAUUAGAUACCCUGGUAGUCCACGCCGUAAACGGUGGGUGCUAGUUGUGGGCCACAUUCCACGUGGUCCGUGACGAAGUUAACACAUUAAGCACCCCGCCUGGGGAGUACGGUCGCAAGACUAAAACUCAAAGGAAUUGACGGGGGCCCGCACAAGCGGCGGAGCAUGCGGAUUAAUUCGAUGCAACGCGAAGAACCUUACCAAGGCUUGACAUAUAGAGGAAACGUGCAGAAAUGUACGCCCCGCAAGGUCUCUAUACAGGUGGUGCAUGGUUGUCGUCAGCUCGUGUCGUGAGAUGUUGGGUUAAGUCCCGCAACGAGCGCAACCCUCGUCCUAUGUUGCCAGCACGUAAUGGUGGGAACUCAUGGGAGACUGCCGGGGUCAACUCGGAGGAAGGU
Molecule: ribosomal RNA, 617 nt
Filed under: uncultured Actinomycetes bacterium
Lineage: Bacteria; Bacillati; Actinomycetota; Actinomycetes
Description: bacterial SSU rRNA
Rfam family: Bacterial small subunit ribosomal RNA
Source: RNAcentral